Molecule: non-coding RNA, 6002 nt
Organism: Anas platyrhynchos (mallard)
Lineage: Eukaryota; Metazoa; Chordata; Aves; Anseriformes; Anatidae
Source: RefSeq, a predicted model, not a curated record
CUUGCGGGGGAAAAACAUCGGGGCUUUUCUGGAGUUGGGAAAUAAAGAGGCAUAGGGUUUUCGGCCACGGCCACUGACAGUUUUAGAUCCCUUGGUUAUUUUUCCCUACGCUGUUGCAGCAGUAUAUGCAGCACAAAUCCCCCAAGAGCAGAUCCAGCUUUGCUUUGGGAAUGUGAGCAGCGCUGGCCUUUCCGUCACACCUUGGGGCGCCGAGUGAAUUCGAGCUGCAGCAACUUGACUUUUGGGGCAGGUGAGCCAGAAACCAUUCGUCCCGACGAAAGGGUCAGCUCACGGGCACGUUGCAGGAUCUGCAGCCUGUGAGGGGAGGGAAAUGCAAGCCCUCUGCACCCUGUGAGAAGAGGCAGGGCGCAGCAGUCCCUCCGGUGGGCUCGGGCACGCUACGAGGACAUCGGGGGGCUGCAGGAUGUGCUCGAGGACAAACACCAAGGCUUGGGCACAGGGCAGCAGGAUGGGGAUCUGCCAGCACGGGUGCCCCAGCCCGCCCAAGGUCUCGGUCGGCCGAGUUUCACGUGAGCCGGGGAGGUCUGCCAGAGCGGGUCGCGUCCUCCCCAUCUCGGGCAGCUCAUUCAGAGCCAGCUCGGCUGGCGCGGGGCCGCGCUGCUCUCUGCAGUGCAAACAGGCACUCUGAACCCUGCCCCAGCGCUGCCAGGGCGUCGCUUCUCCCGGAGAAAAUUGGGCUGCAGGAACUGCUCACGCUUCGGCUGAAGUUAUCCUCCUCCAUGUGUGAUGCGGGGUCUCUCAACUGAUGUGCUACACAGAGACCAUGACCUCAGGAGCAGGCUGCUCAGUCAGGCUCAUACCCACGGUGUUUGCAUGGAAGUCCAUAGAUCUCUGUAUAUCCCCGCGCAGUUUGACAGGAAAUCCUGCUUUCUCAUUACAAAGUUUGCUGCGAUGUUGUAAAUUGCCCUAAUUUUCCUCCGGAUUUGUUCCUGAAAGGAGCAGAAAUGGUGCCUCUAGAGAGGAAAACCAGAAGGCUUGGCAGGACUUCGCCCUCUGAGGCUCUGUGUUCUCACUCUUAUCCCCAGGUGGGGAAGUUGCAGGUUUAUGGUGAGCAGAAGAGGUGGUGAAGUGUUUUACAGCAGCUUUUGCCCCAGCCCAGAAAUGAAGCCACCCCCCUCUCAUUCCCCCGCUGAGGAAUGGGCUGCUUGGGAAUUUAAGGAGUGUGACAUCCAGAUCUGGAAGUAAGUCACAGCUUUGGCCCGUCUCAAAUUCAAAAACUGUUCACCCAACCUAAAUCCAGCACAUCUGGCAGAAGGGAGAGCCGCCAGCCCAAAAGCUGUAACACAAUUCACUGAAAAUAGCAGAGCAACCAAAUGGGCCGGGAGGCGAUGAGGAGCCUUCCGAACCACCACUGCUGCAGGGUGCCAGCCUGCUGCCUGCAGGCCGCUUUGGAGCAAAGCUAAAAAGGCCAAUUAACACCUCACCAGGAGGGCAUCCCUUCAGACCCAUCCCUUCAGCGUGCCCUCGAAACCAGCUGGGAUCCACGGCUUGGCCCCAGCUGAGAGGCAGCAAACUCCUGAGAUUGCCACCAGGUUCAGUGCAAAGUCACUCACCUGCAGCACUGCUUGGCCUCGCUGUGCCACAUGUAACAGGCUGGGUAGCUUGCUUUUAUUUCUCAGUACCAUACAGAGAGUGCUAGCCUCAACAUCCUUGCUCUCAGAGUUAAAUCCAGCCUCCCAGCCCGUGCUGCCUUGCUGCUAGGCCCUCAUUUGCCCGUCCGGGUGGCACGGCACAUCUUUGGGAACGUGCUGGCCCCGUGAGAGCCAGAUUCCUUUUCUCAAUGGAAAAUUUUGAGCUGUUCCCACCAGUGACAUCACGGCGUCCUCCACUUCCACAGCCACAAAGGCGCAUAUUGAUAGGCAUGACAUUUCCCUUUAAUGCCUUCAUUGUCUCCUGCGUUUCGUUUGGGCUGUCGCUCGAAGCCCAAAAAGCAAGACAAAAGGCAAAGUAUGUUAAGGGGAGACCCGGGCUGCGUGCAAAUAUGUCGCACGAGAGGAUCUCUGACUCCAGGCAAUUCUCAGGGAAUUUGCUUUCCACGGGGCUUCUCCCGAGUGAUUUAGGAUAUUGACUGGAACUGCCACCUCCUUCCUCUAACUUGCUUCAGGCUCGUGCUUGGGUACUGCUGCGCUGCACAGGGAUCUGGCACAUGCUUUCAGAGCCUAUUUUAAAAGAUUUGUGUCAGCUGCAUCGCAGAGCACGCUAACCGAGCUCCUGAACCACAGCAAGCUUGCCUUGUGGGCUCCUCAGGACUGGGACCCUGCAUCCUCAAGGGACGUUUGUACAUUUGGUGCAGGGCAGAAAGGAGAAGGGGAGCACUGACCUUCGCACCAUGUCCCUUUCUAAAGAGAUAGCAAGGCUCAGAGCGGACUUUGAUUUCGCCUCUUGCAGUAUCGACCCAAGUUCCGUAUUGUUGGCCUUUCAGGGAAAUUUGGCACGGGGCAGGGUUGGGCACGGAGUCUCCUGAGCACGUCAGUCAUCAGGAAGGAGAGAGCUGAAGAGUGCAGCUGAUGGGGUGAGCUCUGGGGCUGUGUGCGAGGAUCUUUGCAAGACCCUCAGCGCCUAGAAGCUGCAGCUCCUUCCACAGCGAGGUAAAUCUUUUCCACACAGGGUUCAGCUCUUCCAUGGAUGAAUCUUCUGGAGUUUUCUGACCACCUUAUUCUCCUCACUACUCACCUCUUUAGAUGAUUUUUAUUUAUUUUAUUUAUUUUUUUUUCUGGGACUUACCCACGGUACUUCCAAUGAACUGCUGUCCACAGUGAAGUGUUACUUUACAGAUAACCUGACUGUUAUGCAUGUCAUUAAAUAUGCCUUAAGAACGGCUCUGCAUCUCAGGGAGCUUGCAGACACCCAUACAGACCCCUCUUAAAAGUUAAUUUGUCUAGCAGUCUGGACAAAACAGUGCUCCAAAGGUUAAUAAGCAUAAAAUGAAUGCCUUGGUAAGCCAAAGUUAAAUGAGCAUUUGGAAAGGGGAACAGCUACCUUUCAAUUAUAUUUUGCUGCUGUAAAACCUGAGCAAACCUGCUACCUAUGUGAGAAAGAGGCUGAAACAGAGCAGACGCCAGGUCUGGUGUCUCAGCAGACACAGAGCCUCUGCCCUUGGUCUCCCAUAGGCUUUGGACCACUUGACAGACCUCACAAGCUCUGCUGGCUUUUGCCCUCAGAGAAACCCUGUUGGUUUCUUCACCAAGCAAGCCCCAGCUGUGAAGACAUGGGACAUUUGGCUCCUAUUAGAAGCCCAGAUCUCAUUUCUCCCUCUCUGGUACGGCAGCAAGGUGGGCAGUCAGAGGCAGAGGCUCCGUGCUGCUCCCACUCAUCUCCCAUGGCUCUUGGGUUGGCACGGGGGGGCAAGUUGGGCAUCUGAGGGUGCCAUGGUCAGGGGGAGACGGCAUUUAUCUCUUACUGCAGGCAGUUGUUAGAGCUGGUCUGCUGAUCUAGGGGUCCCUAACCCCCCUUAUCAGCUCCUGAGAUGGAAAAACAUGCUUUUCUGCCUUGCAGUGGCCAUAGGUGGAGGACAGGUUCCCACAUACUAAGUAUCUGGCUGCUGCCCAUGUUUCUGCAGAAGCCAGGAUGGUGACAGCUGUGUUCCAGCAAAAGUAUAGUAUGCUUCUGCAAAAAAUGUGCUUAUAAUUCUCGUUUCUCUUCCCCCAGGACUGUCUCAGAAGUUAAAUCAAACCUCUGGCUCCGUAGAGUCCCCUGCACUUGACACGGAUCACUUACCUGGGCUGGGAUCCUGCUGCAGGGGACAGCCUGUUUCAUUUUGCCUGUUACCAGCAUAGAAGGGGACAAUUUAGUUACCAGAUUGUCUGGGGACAAUUGGAGGUCAGGGGAAGCAUGAAAAUGGGAGAGAGGUCUGGGGACAGGGCUCACGUGAAAGGGUUCAAUGGGGGAGGAAGACCUGGCAGCAAGGUGAGCUGAGGCUGGGCCAAGCCCUGCUGAAAAUGGCCUUUGUUACCUGUCAGCAGCAAACCCAAAUGCCCUUUUUAUUUUCCUUCUUCCAUGGAAUUACUUCAAACAAACAGAUCUGAAACAAAACAGCCAUGCCUUUCACCACAGGAGCUCUCACGUCCAGGGCCAGCAGGGAGGGCCGGCUUGUGUCUGUGCCCAUGUGCAGGUUCUGGUGGGUCAUGCUCCUUACUGAGCCUUGGAGAAGGCUGUGGAUAUUUUAAUCAUAAAUUCCAGCCCUGGACAAUUUAAUUUACACCAUUAGCUGUGCUUUGUCCUGGCACAAAGCAGCUCCUCUGCUUUGGGCACGAGUUACAGUGAUGGCUGGGGAUGGUGGCUGGGGCUCUCAGCCUGCCCCCAUGCUGAGUAGCAGCUGAGAGGAGCCUCCAAAACCAUCUUAAAAAGCAGCCUCUUGGAAGGGAGCUGCAUGGAUACCUGUCCCAUCCCUGUCCUUGGGCAUCCAGCCCCAGGAAGGGGCUUCGGGGCUCCCAAACCCCAACUCACAGCUCAGGUCUCCAUCUCCGGGACACAGGAACCUUGGCUGAGAUGACAGACUUCAGGAUCUUGGCCAAGAGGAACCAGAUAAUAAGCCCUAGAAAAGCUGGCACAGCGGUUUCUGCUCGCAUUGCAGGUCCUGUGUGUCAGCCUGCUUGGCAGCUGGGGAUCCUGCCUGCCCAAAGCAGGGUGGCACAGGGCCUUGGGCAUCGCCCCCGAGCCAGGACAGAGAACCUCCUUGGGUCCCGGUGCCUGCAAAGGAGACAUGUCUGCUGCUCUGAUUUGGCAGCAAUCCUCUCCUCCUAGCUCCUCCCAGCUCCAGGAAAGGAAACCAAUUUCCUUUGCAAAGUAAUCUGAGCUCCAGGAGUUAAAAGUGCUAUUUAAAGAGCGAGGCGAUGCUGCCGUACGAGGAGCUCACGGUUUGGAGAAAGCUCUCCGCCUCCGCGUGUAAAAACUAGGCUAAUAAUGGUUUUCUGCCUCACGCAAGCUGGUGGGAAUUAAUUAAUUUUAAAAGCAGUUGGAAGCACAGCCACAACAUAGGUGCUAAUUUUUAUUUAUUAAUAUUUCAUGUUCGCGAUACAGGACUAAUUAUGUGCAUGGCAAGGAGUGCAUUUUCCAUGCUAUUAGCUCAAUCUUAAAGAUUUAGACAGUACUUACAUUUAUCUGUACCUCAAAAAAAAGUGUUGCAUGAGAUGAAAAUGUGUGGGGGGUGCUCUCUUAAGUGCGAUCUUUAUUAUGCUGCUUCAAUCCCACCUCCCGCUGAGCCUGUCAAGACCGAACAUCUGGCUGUUGCUGUAGCACGCGAUGCCUCCUGAAUUGCCAACUCCUGGCCAGGAGGAAGAGGCUGGGAAGAAGCCGAAGGAGGUGAAGGGGUGGGGAAGGAGCCAGGUUUGUCUCCCAUAGUCUGGCAGUGACAAGAAGGCGGAGAGGUUUUGUGCUUGCUGUGGAGCGGGCAGGAGCCCGUGCAGUAUGUUUUAUCUCUCCUGCAGUUGGGACCCAUUUCCAGAGCUUUAGGGAGUGAUUAGCUCAGAAAGAAAACAGUGGGAAAUGGCAAACGUCUUUCACCACCUCCCAGUUGAUCCAAACUACAGGUUCGUGUUUGGAUGUAAUUGACUAUUUCUGCAUAUGUGUGCAGGGAAGAUGUCCCCGCUGUACACGCUAUAGGACAGUACCUGUGUCUUCCUGCACGUCUCUGUAGUAGCUAACUUAGAGGGGAGCCCCUGACGCUCUGGCAGUGAAUAUGCUCCUUGUUCUGCCCUAGAGAAAAGCACUUUUAAAGAAGCUCAGAAAUGAGACUGGAAAAUGAAAAUAUUCUUCGUGACAUUGUCUGCCUGCCAAGUCUGAUAAAGUCACAGGGGGAAUGGGAAACCCCUGGAAAGUCUAAUGGAAAGUCUAACUGCAGAGAAUGUGUAGAGAUGCGAAAGAAGAUCCUUAACUACUCUUUUCUCUGCUCCGACUCAUCUAGGAGCUGCAGCAAACCCUGGUGUUUCCUAGUCCUUCAGUCAUACGCACAGCAAGGAUUUAAAUAAAUACUAUAAAAAUGG